GAAAGACGCAUAUAAAAUCCUUUAAUUUUGCAUCGGGUGUAUUCUUUCAUAAAGUUCAAGUCUAACAGUAUGGCAUCUUGGGCGUUUCAUCUUGCUAAGACGAGUCGACUGACCUUUGGUAAACAUGAAGUUUUCAAAAAUUCGCCAAGGAAAAACCAAAAAUUCCUGAAUGCGGCCCAUAACAUCAAUCGAAAAAGAAAAUCGGCUGCUUUAAGUGAGGAAAAACUCGCUUGAUUAUGAAAUUUCUGGAAGUUUCGAAAUUUUUUUUUUUGCCCUCUUGAAUACGGGAAUACGGAACGGUUAUCAGCUCUAUUGUAUAGAAAAAACAUAAUGGUGCUUCACUGAUGAUUCAAAAAUUGUCUGUUCAAAAAAACUCAUAAAACUAACGUGAAUUUUUCAAGAA
Molecule: long non-coding RNA, 403 nt
Organism: Dendroctonus ponderosae (mountain pine beetle)
Lineage: Eukaryota; Metazoa; Arthropoda; Insecta; Coleoptera; Curculionidae
Exons: 2
Source: RefSeq, a predicted model, not a curated record